UGCCAGCCGCCGCGGUAAUACGGAGGGUGCGAGCGUUAAUCGGAAUUACUGGGCGUAAAGCGCGCGUAGGUGGUCUGUUAAGUCGGAUGUGAAAGCCCCGGGCUCAACCCUGGAACUGCCUUUAAAACUGUUAGUCUUGAGAUCGAGAGAGGUGAGUGGAAUUCCAAGUGUAGAGGUGAAAUUCGUAGAUAUUUGGAGGAACACCAGUGGCGAAGGCGGCUCACUGGCUCGAUACUGACGCUGAGGUACGAAAGUGUGGGGAGCAAACAGGAUUAGAUA
This 279-nucleotide ribosomal RNA is filed under the name uncultured bacterium. Its description in RNAcentral is "partial 16S ribosomal RNA". It matches the Rfam family "Bacterial small subunit ribosomal RNA", at positions 506 to 784 of the family's 1533-position model. The record is from RNAcentral.